Molecule: ribosomal RNA, 492 nt
Filed under: uncultured bacterium
Lineage: Bacteria
Description: partial 16S ribosomal RNA
Rfam family: Bacterial small subunit ribosomal RNA
Source: RNAcentral
AGUGAACGCUGGCGGUAGGCCUAACACAUGCAAGUCGAACGGCAGCACAGUAAGAGCUUGCUCUUACGGGUGGCGAGUGGCGGACGGGUGAGGAAUACAUCGGACUCUACUUUUUCGUGGGGGAUAACGUAGGUAAACUUACGCUAAUACCGCAUACGACCUACGGGUGAAAGCAUGGGAUCUUCGGACCUUGCGCGAUUGAAUGAGCCGAUGUCGGAUUAGCUAGUUGGCGGGGUAAAGGCCCACCAAGGCGACGAUCCGUAGCUGGUCUGAGAGGAUGAUCAGCCACACUGGAACUGAGACACGGUCCAGACUCCUACGGGAGGCAGCAGUGGGGAAUAUUGGACAAUGGGCGCAAGCCUGAUCCAGCCAUACCGCGUGGGUGAAGAAGGCCUUCGGGUUGUAAAGCCCUUUUGUUGGGAAAGAAAAGCAGCAGGUUAAUACCCCGCUGUCCUGACGGUACCCAAAGAAUAAGCACCGGCUAACUUCGUG